AUGGAGAAUAUUGUAGUGCUGAUUGAUCGCGCUGGGCCAGCAGGCCUUGCAACAGCAGCAUGCCUUAGCCAAUUCUCAAUUCCCUAUGUCAUUGUCGAGCGUGAAAGUUGCAGCGCGUCGCUUUGGCGCAACCGCGCCUACGAUCGCCUCAAGAUGCAUCUUGCAAAGGAGUUCUGUGAGUUGCCACACAUGUCAUACCCACUAGAUGCACCGACAUACAUACCAAAAACCUUGUCUGUGAAGUACUUGGAUAACUAUGUUGAGCGUUACAAUAUUCGACCCAAGUAUCUCACUAGUGUGGAGACAUCCACAUUUAACAAUGACGAAAACUGUUGGUCCAUCGUGAUUCAUAUAAUGACAAAAGAAUUAAUCCGGUUGGGGAUGACACUUGCUCGCCGUCUCCCAUUGAAUCUAGUGGAUAACCUCCUUGUGAUGGCGGCAAAUUUCAUAUUUGGUGAUCUAUCGAGGUAUGGCAUCAGAAGGCCAAAAGUGGGUCCAAUGAUCCACAAGUCAGAGACUGGCCGAUCCGCUGUUAUUGAUGUUGGCACCGUUGGGUUAAUCAAAAAAGGUAUCAUCAAAGUACAUGGGAGCAUUAGUAAGAGCAUGGGCGAUAUAGUUGAAUUUCAGUGCGGUAAAAAGAUAUCAUUUGAC
RNAcentral lists this ribosomal RNA (651 nucleotides) under Triticum aestivum (bread wheat). Its description in RNAcentral is "partial small subunit ribosomal RNA". Lineage: Eukaryota; Viridiplantae; Streptophyta; Magnoliopsida; Poales; Poaceae. The record is from RNAcentral.